RNAcentral lists this transfer RNA (74 nucleotides) under candidate division Zixibacteria bacterium RBG-1. It matches the Rfam family "tRNA". Rfam says of the family: Transfer RNA (tRNA) molecules are approximately 80 nucleotides in length. Lineage: Bacteria; Pseudomonadati; Candidatus Zixiibacteriota. RNAcentral also lists the same sequence under 2 other names. The record is from Rfam by way of RNAcentral.
GCCCCGUUAGCUCAACUGGAUAGAGCAUCGGACUUCGGAUCCGAGGGUUGGGGGUUCGACUCCCUCACGGGGUA